GACGAACCGUGCGAACGUUGUUCGGAAUCACUGGGCUUAAAGGGCGCGUAGGUGGUUGAUCAAGUCUGGGGUGAAAUCUUUCGGCUUAACCGGAAAAGUGCCUUGAUACUGAUCAGCUGGAGGGAGGUAGGGGCAGUUGGAACUUCCAGUGGAGCGGUGAAAUGCGUUGAUAUUGGAAGGAACGCCGGUGGCGAAAGCGAGCUGCUGGACCUCUUCUGACACUGAGGCGCGAAAAGCUAGGGGAGCAAACGGG
This 253-nucleotide ribosomal RNA is filed under the name uncultured bacterium. RNAcentral's name for it is "partial 16S ribosomal RNA". It matches the Rfam family "Bacterial small subunit ribosomal RNA", at positions 524 to 776 of the family's 1533-position model. The record is from RNAcentral.